Non-coding RNA from Triticum aestivum (bread wheat), 135 nucleotides. Lineage: Eukaryota; Viridiplantae; Streptophyta; Magnoliopsida; Poales; Poaceae. The record is from Rfam.
GUAGUACUCCCUCUGUCUCAAAAUUCUUGUCUUAGAUUUGUCUAAAUACGGAUGUAUCAAGUCACGUUUUAGUAUUAGAUAUAUCCGUAUCUAGAUAAAUCUAAGAAAAAAAUCUUGAGACAGAGGGAGUAUACU